RNAcentral lists this ribosomal RNA (299 nucleotides) under Psilochorus pallidulus. Its description in RNAcentral is "partial 12S ribosomal RNA". The record is from RNAcentral. Lineage: Eukaryota; Metazoa; Arthropoda; Arachnida; Araneae; Pholcidae.
AAACCCGUGAGGGUUGGCGGUUACAACCUCUUAGAGGAGCUUGUUUCAUAAUCGACAACACACGAUAAUUUUCACUUGAUUAAAAAGCUCAUAUACCGCCGUUAUAACAGGAAAUUAAUAACUAAAAUUCCACCAAAGAAUAUCCCUAAAAAAUCAGGUCAAGGUGUCGCCUUUAAUCAAGAAGAAAUUAGCUACUUAUAAACACAAUUUAAGGAAUAUAGCCCAAAAUCAAUACGAAAGAGAAUCUACAUUCAUAAUUAACUUAAAAUUUUAAUUUGAAACAUAGACCGUUGUAAUGC